RNAcentral lists this ribosomal RNA (328 nucleotides) under uncultured eukaryote. Its description in RNAcentral is "partial 18S ribosomal RNA". It matches the Rfam family "Eukaryotic small subunit ribosomal RNA", at positions 1470 to 1796 of the family's 1831-position model. The record is from RNAcentral.
CCCUUAGAUGUCCGGGGCUGUACGCGCGCUACACUGAAGGAAUCAGCGUGCUAAAACCAUUGUCGAAAGGCAUUGGUAAACCCAUUAAAAUCCUACGUGAUUGGGAUCGGGAAUUGCAAUUAUUUCCCUUGAACGAGGAAUUCCCAGUAAGUGUGGGUCAUAAGCUCGCGUUGAUUACGUCCCUGCCCUUUGUACACACCGCCCGUCGCUGCCCGGGACUGAGCCGUUUCGAGAAAAGCGGGGACUGCUGCUGUCGGGGCUUUCGGGCCUUGGCUUCGGUGGAAACCGCUUUAAUCGCAGUGGCUUGAACCGGGCAAAAGUCGUAACA